Molecule: long non-coding RNA, 1498 nt
Filed under: Felis catus (domestic cat)
Lineage: Eukaryota; Metazoa; Chordata; Mammalia; Carnivora; Felidae
Description: lncRNA (ENSFCAG00000053327.1)
Source: RNAcentral
GUUUUGACCUGUGUUUCCUGCUAUCUUGUGCAUCCAGAAAAAGAGGUACAGAGAAUACGGAUGGAGGUAUAAGUCCCAAGUCCAGAUUUUUUCCAAAUGGGAAGGGCCAAGUCCGGAAAUUAUGGCCAGUGCCGUAGCAACUAUGGUUUUGCCUGCCUUGCUUCGUAGAAAUAGCAGGGCUUGAUGGAAACUGCAUAGUGAGACCAUAAAAAUUGACCUUGGGCCUGUUAGGUGAUUAUACAUUGAUUUUACACUUGGUGCCCAAACCUAUCACAUCUUGGCCUGCCCGCUUGCAGCUUAUACAAUAAGGCAUUUCUGAGUACAGGGGGUUGGCCCGGGCAACGGUGCCGGGGAAAGAAAACCAAAGGGUUUUGUGCUGCCUCCCAAUCAGCGUGCCAGCGCUCUUGAGCAGCUGUGAGAGAGGCCAAGUUCAGACGGCAGGCAAGCCGUGGGGCUUGGAAUUCCCCUAGAGGUUCCGUGGAGAUCCCCCCUGAGAGAGACGCUUGCCCAACCCCUAGGCCUGGAAGGAGCAGGAAGAGCUUGUGUUAAUGAGAGAGGAGGGUCCAGAGCAGCCGGGUUGGAACUGGGGUGGGUGACCCCGGUGCCUGCCUUGUUGGGGAUGGACCUGGGGAUAAGAAAAGCCACUACUUCAGAGGUCCGCUGAGAGGAGCAUUUCAUGGCACUCUCUCUCCAGACAUAAGGUAAACUCCGGAGGCCUCGGGGAACCUCAAAGGUGAAGGACUUAGAAGGGUGGCUUCCCGGGACCAUUCCCAGCUGCUGUGGUCACUCUCCGGCCGGGACAGUGUUGCCUGGGCCAGAGUGGUAGAGGAGUCUGGAGGCCGAGGGGGGUCUGCUCACAGGCCCCUCCCUCAGGCCCUGAGGAAGGCUGGCUGUUCGUGGCUAUCUGCUCCCUUGCUGCAGGGCCGGCCACACACCCUGCAGAUGCUCCACGGACAUGUCACCCUGACCUACCAAGGCCCGGAGUGGGCAUGAAGGCUGGGGGGCUUCUAUGGUUUUGCCUGCCUUGCUGUGUGAAUCGAGAUGCUUGGGCAAGAGGCCGGCAUACUGUCAGUCUGCUUGCCCAGAUAGCCUUCGUGCCAGUCCACUCGUUCCUUCAUUUAUCUAAGCAGAGCUCUGGAGACUGGCUCUGUGUCAGGUUGGACGCCAGGCCCUGGGUGUGCACAGAGGGAGAGUACUUCACAGAGUCGUCAUGAGGAACAAAUGGAACAUUCUGCGUAAAGUACCUGGCACAUAAUCAACACAGUAAAUACUAGCACCAUUGUUAGUAUUUACUGAGCCUGCUUCAGCAUAACAGAUGUGCAGACUGACCAACCAAUCAAUACCGCUGCUACUCUUGGCUCCUGUUUUCUCUUCACACUGAUAAUUCCCACCAAGACUCACCGUUUUCUUUCACAGGCAUUUGUAUUUCUUCUACCUCUGUCCCCAGAUGUCAUCCCACCUUCUAGUCUUUACCCGAGGCGCUACAACAAAUUUAGAA